Non-coding RNA from Lactuca sativa (garden lettuce), 2280 nucleotides. Lineage: Eukaryota; Viridiplantae; Streptophyta; Magnoliopsida; Asterales; Asteraceae. The record is from RefSeq and is a predicted model, not a curated record.
UUUUUCUUUUUGGUGGGUUUCGUUUAAUUUUUUCCUCUUUUCCGAGAUAAUAUACUGGAUAGUGGAUUACAAGUCAUGGCCAGGUAUUAUUUCCUCAAACAAUCCACCGCCCGAUCCUUCCAUCCUCUAAUCGAUGUGUCCACCGCUUGCUUCUUCCUCCACCAUCUCUCUUCGAUCGCUGUAAAUGCCGACAGCCACAAAAAUCUGCUUUCGAUUCAAGAUGUCUUUGGUAAAAAAUAACUAUGCCAUGUCAGGUCUACCCCCAAGACGGUUCCUUAGUUUUGCGUCUUUCCUAAUUUCUCCGUCUUCAUACGGUUAUGUCUCGGUUCCGCUCCUCCCAUUUUCACUUUCUGGCCAACGCUCCUCAAUGGCUCCGCGACGGCACACAGUUUCUCAUCAGGUAAAUUUCUGAUUUUAGAUCCUCAAUUUGAUCGUUUAUGUUUUCUUUUAUUUUUUUUAUUUUUAAAAAUUGGUUUUUUUCUCUGAACCCUAACCAAAUCCUUCCGAUUUACUCUUUCUUUGAUUUUGAUUUGUUGUUUCUUCUUUUAAUACUAUUGGAUAUUUUUAAGGUUUCAUUUCAGUGAAAGUUUCGUAUUUUUUUAGUAAUCAAAUUAGUAUUAGUCGAUAUCUUUAUGCACAUGUUCUAACUUGACUUCUUAAUCAUCAAUUUAUGAAACUGAAGAUCGCUUGGGAUAUAAGGUUGUGAAUUUAAUAUUCAUUACAAAUCACUAUUUCAGUUAAUGUGGAUUCUCCUUCCUUAUGAUCACUAAAAAUUAUAACCUUAAAUGUCAAUUUAUCUCUUAAUCAGUAUUCUCUGAGGCUGCAUUUGUAUUUUAUUUGUGCAUAUUCGCAGGCGACUUUCUAAGUUCAAGUUGGUUUUACGGGAAUUGUUUUUUUCCGGUGUUGACAAGCCUAUAACAUGUUCUGAUUUUGCUUAAACAACAAUCAACUUAAAAUGAAGACCACAACAUCAAUGACCAAGCCAAGUUCUGAUUUUGCUUCUACUUUUCCUAUGUUCUUUUGUCACUUUGGUCAUUACUCUUGUUCUUUAAAGUCUUCUAACUGUAAUUAUAAUCAACUUCAUUAAGUAAUAUAAAAUAAUUAUUGUAAUUUGUCGCUGACCAGUAAAAGGAAUGAGAAGGAUUUAGAAAGCUUAAGUGUUCCACCUAAAUAUAGAAGCAUGAACUCUUUCUGGAAAUACUACUCAGGAGAAAAAGUAGCCCCAUUUCCAACUAUAUUCAUUGGAGAAAUUCAUGAAGCUUCCAAUUACCUCUGGGAAUUAUACUAUGGAGGAUGGGCAGCACUGAUAUUUACUUCUUGGGAUUUGCAGGGAGUGUCAAAUUUGGGGGUAUUCGCAUUGGGGGCAUUUCUGGAAUUUACAAGUCCCGAGAUUAUUGUUCAGGUUAGUUAUAUGUUGAACUUUACAAAAAUAAAAAAAUGUACACCUAUUCUCACAAGAAUCAUACAUUAGAGUUUUAUAGUUUAUACUAGGGUUAUUUUCUUGAUUAAACAGGACAUUUUCAAGGGCUCCAUAUAACAAUAGUGAUAUAAAGUCAGUAUAUCAUGUGAGGGAAUUUGAUGUUCACAAACUCAUGCAAAUUGAAGAACCUGUUGACAUUUUUGUGUUACAGAAGGUCGUACUAUGUCUGUUCCCGGAGACUAUUCAAUGCAUUAUGUUAAUUUCAGAUAUAUGAUGUGAAUUUUACUUAUUUUCAUUGGAGUUUUGAGGAAAUGGAAGGAAAAACAUUUUUUUUAAAAAAUUCAACACAUAAAGGGGAAAGUCUCUUUUGCUUGACAAAGAAGUUGUAGUCUUAAUGAAGGUGGUGAGACAGAAAGAUGGCAUGCCAAGAAGCAUGAUUCUGCAAUGGAACACAGUCCAACUAUGAAAAAUCUCAAGGUUAUGUUGGUUUAAUAUACAUUUUCUCUCCUCCCCUGUCAUUGAAAUGUAGAUGCAUAAAAUUAGUUUGUUUUAUAUGGAAUACUUUUUAUUCUUCAUUUGUGAUCUGUCUUUAGUUGAUAAACAUUGUUAAUGUUGUUUCAGGGGUAGUUUUGCCAUUAAUAUAAGUCAUAAAACAGCUGAAUUUUAAUGGUUUGGAUUGAGGUCUUACAAAGAAAACAGAAAAAGGAAACGUAAAAUUGGUGAGAUUAAGUAAAUCUUUAUUUUUGCCAAAUUAGUUUAUGUUAUAAUAAUAAGUGUUCUUUUUGAUGUUAUUUUUGUGAUUGAUGAUGAUGUUAGACUUACUGUCGUUGCACUUGCAGGCACAUAGGGAAGCUAACAAC